Molecule: ribosomal RNA, 492 nt
Filed under: uncultured bacterium
Lineage: Bacteria
Description: partial 16S ribosomal RNA
Rfam family: Bacterial small subunit ribosomal RNA
Source: RNAcentral
AGUGAACGCUGGCGGCAGGCCUAACACAUGCAAGUCGAACGGCAGCACAGUAAGAGCUUGCUCUUACGGGUGGCGAGUGGCGGACGGGUGAGGAAUACAUCGGAAUCUACUUUUUCGUGGGGGAUAACGUAGGGAAACUUACGCUAAUACCGCAUACGACCUACCGGUGAAAGCAGUGGAUCUUCGCACCUUGCGCGAUUGAAUUAGCCGAUGUCGGAUUAGCUAGUUGGGGGGGUAAAGGCCCACCAAGGCGACGAUCCGUAGCUGGUCUGAGAGGAUGAUCGGCCACACUGGAACUGAGACACGGUCCAGACUCCUACGGGAGGCAGCAGUGGGGAAUAUUGGGCAAUGGGCGCAAGCCUGAUCCAGCCAUACCGCGUGGGUGAAGAAGGCAUUCGGGUUGUAAAGCCCUUUUGUUGGGAAAGAACAGCAGCAGGUUAAUACCCCGCUGUUCUGACGGUACCCAAAGAAUAAGCACCGGCUAACUUCGUG